RNAcentral lists this ribosomal RNA (1116 nucleotides) under Graddonia coracina. RNAcentral's name for it is "eukaryotic LSU rRNA". It matches the Rfam family "Eukaryotic large subunit ribosomal RNA", at positions 22 to 1155 of the family's 3401-position model. Lineage: Eukaryota; Fungi; Ascomycota; Leotiomycetes; Helotiales; Tricladiaceae. The record is from RNAcentral.
GUACCCGCUGAACUUAAGCAUAUCAAUAAGCGGAGGAAAAGAAACCAACAGGGAUUACCUCAGUAACGGCGAGUGAAGCGGUAACAGCUCAAAUUUGAAAUCUGGCUCUUUCAGGGUCCGAGUUGUAAUUUGUAGAAGAUGCUUUGGGUGUGGCUCCGGUCUAAGUUCCUUGGAACAGGACGUCAUAGAGGGUGAGAAUCCCGUAUGUGAUCGGCUGCUUUCGCCCGUGUAAAGCUCUUUCGACGAGUCGAGUUGUUUGGGAAUGCAGCUCAAAAUGGGUGGUAUAUUUCAUCUAAAGCUAAAUAUUGGCCAGAGACCGAUAGCGCACAAGUAGAGUGAUCGAAAGAUGAAAAGCACUUUGGAAAGAGAGUUAAACAGUACGUGAAAUUGUUGAAAGGGAAGCGCUUGCAACCAGACUCGCGCGCCGUCGAUCAUCCGGGGGUUUCCCCGGUGUACUCGGCGGUGCUCGGGCCAGCAUCAGUUUUGGUGGUGGGAUAAAGGCCUUGGGAAUGUAGCUUCUUUCGGGGAGUGUUAUAGCCCUCGGUGCAAUGCCGCCUACCGGGACUGAGGACCGCGCUUCGGCUAGGAUGCUGGCGUAAUGGUUGUAAGCGACCCGUCUUGAAACACGGACCAAGGAGUCUAACAUCUAUGCGAGUGUUUGGGUGUCAAACCCAUACGCGUAAUUAACGUGAACGGAGGUGAGAACCCUUUAGGGUGCAUCAUCGACCGAUCCUGAUGUCUUCGGAUGGAUUUGAGUAAGAGCAUAGCUGUUGGGACCCGAAAGAUGGUGAACUAUGCCUAAAUAGGGUGAAGCCAGAGGAAACUCUGGUGGAGGCUCGCAGCGGUUCUGACGUGCAAAUCGAUCGUCAAAUUUGGGUAUAGGGGCGAAAGACUAAUCGAACCAUCUAGUAGCUGGUUCCUGCCGAAGUUUCCCUCAGGAUAGCAGUGUUGAAUUCAGUUUUAUGAGGUAAAGCGAAUGAUUAGAGGCCUUGGGGCUGAAACAGCCUUAACCUAUUCUCAAACUUUAAAUAUGUAAGAAGUCCUUGUUACUUAAUUGAACGUGGACAUUCGAAUGUACCAACACUAGUGGGCCAUUUUUGGUAAGCAGAACUGGCG